Leptidea sinapis is the source of this 630-nucleotide long non-coding RNA. RefSeq lists it as uncharacterized. The record is from RefSeq and is a predicted model, not a curated record. NCBI's taxonomy places the organism in Eukaryota, Metazoa, Arthropoda, Insecta, Lepidoptera, Pieridae. The transcript has 3 exons.
GUGAUUUUGAUUUAAUUUGAUCUAAGUGUAGGUACCUAAUGUGGUAGAAGAUGCAGAAAUAAUCCAGUUCUCUACGCAGGGCUAAAGAAUAUACCUACCUACCUAAACUUUGAUAUCCUUAGUUUUAACACUACCACCGCUUCGGAAUUUAAGGCUUUCUAAGAGAGAAGAAACGGCGCAAGAAACUUUUUUCCCCUAUUUUAAUAAAACAAUUUUAAUUAACUGGGUAAAUUUUUUAUGUGCGGCCCCAAUUUAAUAAAACAGAGAACUGCGGAUGGAUGGUUUUAGAAGGUAAACCUGAAGGUCGAAAUCGUGGUAAGCCCGAUCUGACGUGAUUGGACGGCAUUGAACAGGACUUCCAGACCUUGGGAACCAUGAGAUGCGUGCGAUUAGCUCAGAACACACAGACACCCCAGUGGACAGCCGGUAUAACGCGAUGGGCGUCAUCUCCACAGCACGGCCGAUUAUUGAGUCGGGACCGCUUAUUAUAAUUAACAGCUUGCCCCAACAUUAUGUACGUGGAUUGUGGACCCGAAUCAUGUAUCUAUAGUUCUUUGACAAUAUUAUAAUUAUCAACCUCUCUUGUUCAAAGUUAACGCAUGUAGAAACUAAUUAAACAAAAUCGUUGUA